Molecule: ribosomal RNA, 248 nt
Filed under: uncultured bacterium
Lineage: Bacteria
Description: partial 16S ribosomal RNA
Rfam family: Bacterial small subunit ribosomal RNA
Source: RNAcentral
GAUCCUGGCUCAGGACGAACGCCGGCGGCGUGCCUAACACAUGCAAGUCGAACGGAACUUUUUUAAAAGAUUUCUUCGGAAUGAAUUUGAUUAAGUUUAGUGGCGGACGGGUGAGUAACGCGUGAGUAACCUGCCUCUGAGAGGGGAAUAACAUUCUGAAAAGAAUGCUAAUACCGCAUAACAUAUAUUUAUCGCAUGGUAGAUAUAUCAAAGAUUUAUCGCUUAGAGAUGGACUCGCGUCCGAUUAG